CUAAAAGCCAAAAUGACUUUUGCUAGAACCAUCUAAAGUCACUUUUCACACAUAUUUUCCUUCCAGGCAUUGUGAAAACUGCUCUGGUCUUUGGUCCUGUUCUGGGAAACUCACAUGUGACCCAGGGACUGUGCCUAAUGCUGGAAUUACUGACAUCUGUACAUCAUUUCAGUGGCAAAUUACAGCUGGGACAUGCUAACCCCAAAGUAAAAUAAAGAUCCCAGACACCAUCAAAGCUGUUACAGGUCUCCAGGAAUAUCUCUAUUUCAGUCUCAGAUGUGAUGACAUCUAAGCACUGGCUGGGAACCACUCUUCUCAUCAGUACAUACCAUCAGGUGAAUAUUGUUUUUUUCUU
Molecule: long non-coding RNA, 355 nt
Filed under: Cyanistes caeruleus (blue tit)
Lineage: Eukaryota; Metazoa; Chordata; Aves; Passeriformes; Paridae
Description: lncRNA (ENSCCEG00000004694.1)
Source: RNAcentral